CAGAUUCUUGGGAAGUGUGACUUCAUGUCUGAUCUUCAGCUAAUACCGCCUCCCUCAGCGGUACCCCAUCUCUCCUAGUCUCCUGUUGGUGUGAAGUCAGAGAACACUGCGCUGUAUCCUUUCCAAAGCAUCGUCUGGACCUCUUGGCUCCUAAAGCUCCACGUGUAGGCCUCUUUUUCAGGUCUAACUCUCUUGAUUCAUACAAACAAAGAAAAGCUCAAAAGAGGAAUCUGGGCCAGCUCUAUGGGAUUAACGGUGCCUCUGCCGUUGAAGGCCUCAGGACCCCUUUAAGUUCUCAGGAUCUGCCAGUUGGUACAAAUGCAAAAAGGAAUGGGCGGCUGACACCUCUAGAAAGGAAUUUUCUCCCUCUCUCCGGCCCAGAGAACUGGUUUAUUAGACAAAAGAACCUCAAAUGUGGAUUAGGAAUGAAUUAUCCUCUUAACUUCAGGCACAUGAACAUCAUAAAAACAGC
RNAcentral lists this long non-coding RNA (472 nucleotides) under Equus caballus (horse). RNAcentral describes it as "lncRNA (ENSECAG00000046533.1)". Lineage: Eukaryota; Metazoa; Chordata; Mammalia; Perissodactyla; Equidae. The record is from RNAcentral.